GCGCUCGUGCCCUGCCUGCCAUAAAUCCCUCGGAAACCCCGGCCGGCCAGCUCUACCAGGGAGGAGCGCAAUGGAGGCCAACUUUUGGGACUGGCUCCACCACGGCGGCGCCAUGCUCCCGCGGCCCAGCCAUCCCCUCGUGCACCCGGACCCGGAGGUUGCUGCUGCUGCGGCGGCGGCGGAGCAGGGGCAGGCUCCGGCUGCAGGAGCUCAGGGCCCGGCUCCAGCUGCAGCGGUGGCUCAGGGGCAGCCGGCUGCGGCGGCGGCGCAGGGGCAGGCGAUUGUGGCGGCGCAGGGGCAGGGGCAGGGGGUUGUAGCAGCUCAGGGGCAGGGGCAGGGCCCGGCUCCGGCUGCGGCGGCGCAGGGGGGAAACGCGAACGGGGACGCGCCGCCGCCCGGGGUGCUGAUGGUGGACCUGCUGGGGGCGCCGGGGACGCGCUGGGGGCUCGGCACCCGCCUCGCGCAGGCCGUCUUCGCGGCCGCCGCCGUCGCCUCCAUGGCCUCCACCGACGACUUCCGCGUCGUCACCGCCUUCAGCCUCCUCAUCGCAGCAGCAAGCCUGCAAUGCCUGUGGAGCCUUGCUCUGGGCGCUGUGGACAUCUACGCACUUCUUGUCAAGCGUGCCUUCCGGUCUCCUCGAGCUACCACCAUGUACUCCAUCGGGGACUGGCGUUUUGUCUGCAGGUCCAGGUGCGCCGACGUUCGCUGCAGCAAGUGGAUCGGCAGGCAUCACCAUUCUCCUCAACGACGACCUGAUGAUGUGCUCGGAGAACCACUGCCCAAGCUUCAUGGCCGCCACCGCCAUGGCUUUCUUUAGCUGGUUUGCGAUCGCGCCGUCCUGCCUCUUUAACCUCAUGAUGGCGGUCUACAGAGUGCAGAGAGCUUAGUAGUUCGCGGGGCAAGCACUGGGCUGUUUGACCAACUAGGUGGCACAUCUGAUACAGUUAUACAAUGGCACCGCAUUAUCGACAUUUCUGUAGUAACUAGGGAGUACAUAACUCUGAUGUUCAGAAGGGUGGCUGUGAAGCUCUGCGUUCUGUUUUCAGCAGCGUGUGGAUGCAUGCCUUCUUAUUAUGUGAGGCUUGGCUGGAGGUUGUGAUCUGGAGAUGAACUAACUGAUGUGCUACUUUGUUUAGAGCUCAAGGUUGCUGAUAUGAUAAUUAUAUCUGAUUCUGUUUCGUAACUUUUUUGUCGAUAUCCGGAUCUUAGGCCCUGAGAUUACUUGUGUGUAGCGCCGUUGUCGCUUACGAGUGCCGAAUUAUCAGUUCGUCGAGGAGGCCCUUGGUUGUUCUUCUAAAUAAAAACCCCAGUGCAUUCUUAGUGCCCCUUGGUCAGAGUCUUUUCUCAGGAUGUUAGUGCCGAUAGAUGUUGAUGCCAGUAGAUGGCAUCAGAGUUCCGGCUGAAAAUCAUUUUUACAUGGCUUUUACUGCUGUGAUGAUCUGAACAAAAUGAUCUGCCAGUACCGGUUCAUGAGAGGUGAUUAGUAACAAUCAUGUAAGUUGUGCGACAAGCAGAACAUAUGCUUCACUUUCUUAAGAGUACAUAAGUGUUAAGUGGAGAAGCACAAGUUUCAAUAUUUGAAAGUAAUUUAGACUGAAAUAUGCACCAUGCUGCGUAUAUCAGUCUAAAUUUCAUGCCCCAGAAACCCAGAGCUGAAGAAAAACGAUCCUUGUAUUAUUUGUUCUUAUGUUAAUAGU
Triticum aestivum (bread wheat) is the source of this 1697-nucleotide RNA transcript. It is a transcript of the gene named CASP-like protein 5A2, with no coding region annotated. The transcript has 4 exons. The record is from RefSeq and is a predicted model, not a curated record. NCBI's taxonomy places the organism in Eukaryota, Viridiplantae, Streptophyta, Magnoliopsida, Poales, Poaceae.